UUACGCUGUUAUCCCUAAGGUAAUUUAGCCUUUUAAUCACUAUUCAUGGAUCAAAUAUCUAUAAAUAAAUAUUUUACAAUAAAAAGAGUUAAUUUUAUCUUCUCAUCACCCCAAUAAAAUAAUAUUCAAUAUAAAUAUUUUUCAAACCAAAUAAUUAUUAAAUAUUAUAAAACUCUAUAGGGUCUUCUCGUCCCAUAAAAAAAUUUAAGCUUUCUUACUCAAUAAUUAAAUUCUAAAUUUAAUUAAAAGACAGUUUAUAUCUCGUCCAACCAUUCAUUCCAGCCUCUAAUUAAAAGACUAAUGAUUAUGCUACCUUUGCACGGUCAAAUUACCGCGGCCCUUCAAUUUAUAUCAGUGGGCAGGUUAUAUUCCAUAAUAUAAACAAGAAAAGAUGUUUUUGUUAAACAGGCG
Molecule: ribosomal RNA, 411 nt
Filed under: Parcoblatta pensylvanica (Pennsylvania wood cockroach)
Lineage: Eukaryota; Metazoa; Arthropoda; Insecta; Blattodea; Blattellidae
Description: partial 16S ribosomal RNA
Source: RNAcentral